Molecule: long non-coding RNA, 1204 nt
Filed under: Mus caroli (Ryukyu mouse)
Lineage: Eukaryota; Metazoa; Chordata; Mammalia; Rodentia; Muridae
Description: lncRNA (MGP_CAROLIEiJ_G0003169.1)
Source: RNAcentral
AGUUCAAUAAGCUUUAUAGGAAAGGUCCAGAGAAGGAACUGCCAUGCUGAGGAUCAUUUGCUUGUGGGUGUGUAUAUGUUAUUUGGAGGCAUUCACUGGACUCACAAGACUCUUUCUAAAGAUAUGGCCUUGGGAUGCAGCCCAGCUUUGAACUUAUGCUCCACCUCCGACUUCUUCCCAGGUGCUGGGGUUGUAAGUACGCAGCACCAUGCGUGGGAAGAGAAGCAUCUGAAUGGCUCUGGCCCCGAGGCCGCUGGGGCUCCUGUGCUCAGUGUCAACGCAGGAGAUCAAGUCUGAAGUCAGAAGAACGAGAACAGAGAAAACUGGCUCCAGGCAGGGUGGUGCCCUGAAGCUGGGGAAAGGCAGUCAAGUCCAGAAUCUAUUUGAAGGUGCAUCCACACCCCGUACCUAGAUCAGAUGUAGUUGUAAGAGCAAGAGAGGUGUGUGGAAGGACUGGGGUGUCAGUCUGAACAAAUGGUAGAGAGCUUCACUAUGGAAGUCAUUGACUCACUCACUCAUUCAUUCAAUUCAUCAAUUGAAUCACAUUAUCUAAUGUGUGCAUGUGUGACAAGAGGAUAAUUUGUGGAAGUCAGUUCUCUCCUUAGACCAUAUGGGCCUUGGUGAUGGAGUUCAGGCUGCCUGGUUUGGCAGCAGGUGCCUUUAUCCACUGGGCCAUCUCUACUAUCCCGUGGCUGUUAUUCCUAAUGAAUGGGUCAACUACUGCAUGAAAAUAUAAGACACAGCCAUUACUCACCAGGUACUAGCGCUUGCCCCCUUCCACAUGCUGUAGGAAUAGUCAGCGUUUCUGUAGGACAUGACGCUCACCACCCCUGAGAGGAACCAGAACAGAAGAACACAGCCCUUCACUUCCUGGGCAUGCUGGAUCGGCCUGGUGAGCCCUCUGUGGUGUGGCCAACACUGGGCUUCUCACAGGAACUGUGUGAACUACUUGAGCUGGGAAUCAAAUAGAACAUUCUGCUCCCAUUCAGAGAGGAUGGGAGAGCCCCGCAGAGUCUGAGACAGGUGUCUUGGUUUGUAUCCAAGCAUUUUGGUAAGUUAAGCCAAAAUGCCUCAAAAAGAGAACAUGCCAUGGUUUUUCUUUCUUGUUAAAAUUCUUUAUAAGUAAUCAUAUAUGUAUAAUUCUUAACAAUUUAAAUAUUAUGUUCAAUAAGAUAUUUGCUUAGAAUUCUGUAAAAUGAUGUAU